AGUGAACGCUGGCGGUAGGCCUAACACAUGCAAGUCGAACGGCAGCACAGUAAGAGCUUGCUCUUACGGGUGGCGAGUGGCGGACGGGUGAGGAAUACAUCGGAAUCUACUUUUUCGUGGGGGAUAACGUAGGGAAACUUACGCUAAUACCGCAUACGACCUACGGGUGAAAGCAGGGCAUCUUCGGACCUUGCGCGAUUGAAUGAGCCGGUGUCGUAUUAGCUAGUUGGCGGGGUCAAGGCCCACUAGGGCAACGAUCCGUAGCUGGUCUGAGAGGAUGAUGACCUACAUUAGAAGUGAGACACGGUCCAGAAUCUUUCGGAAGGGAGCAGUGGUGAAUAUUUGCAAAUGGUCGCGAUCGUGAUCGAUGCAAACCACGUGGGUGACGAUAGCGUUGGUGUUGUAGAGCCUGUUUGUUGGGUAAGAAAUGCUGCAGGUUAAUUCGCUGCUGUUCUGACGGUCCACAAAGAAUAAGCACCGGCUAAUUUUGAG
This 492-nucleotide ribosomal RNA is filed under the name uncultured bacterium. RNAcentral's name for it is "partial 16S ribosomal RNA". It matches the Rfam family "Bacterial small subunit ribosomal RNA", at positions 29 to 507 of the family's 1533-position model. The record is from RNAcentral.